This 22-nucleotide unclassified non-coding RNA is filed under the name Ascaris suum (pig roundworm). RNAcentral describes it as "trans-spliced leader sequence SL1". Lineage: Eukaryota; Metazoa; Nematoda; Chromadorea; Rhabditida; Ascarididae. The record is from RNAcentral.
GGUUUAAUUACUCAAGUUUGAG